CCCUUUUAGGCAAGUACAUGGGGUGCCCCAAUCUGAUUGGGCACCUCAUGUCAUGAAUAGUAGGUAGAUGGGGAGCCAAGUGUAGGUUUCUUGGUCCAUGAGAGGUGGCGUGGCCACACUCUCUCUCUCUUCCAUGCCAUGCCACAUAAUGGAGUGGACCCCUCAUGUAAUAUCCAUGAGAUUUGGCACCUCAGGUCCUACCAAAAAUGAAAGAAGGCGCCAACUCUUCUUCCCAUUUAUUUCACACACCAC
This 252-nucleotide long non-coding RNA is filed under the name Elaeis guineensis (African oil palm). RNAcentral's name for it is "long non-coding RNA (EGUI_LNC041498)". The record is from RNAcentral. Lineage: Eukaryota; Viridiplantae; Streptophyta; Magnoliopsida; Arecales; Arecaceae.